UGAUUGUGUUUGGGGUCCCCCAUGUAGUUGUUGAUUCUCAGGUUGGACCAAAUCUGUUAGCUGGGAUCCAUUUGUCUCAGUGUGAUUUGAGAGUCAUGGAAUCAUCUAUGGAAACCUGACCACUCCAAACAUAUCUCAAUGAGAACAUGCCAUUUUAUUUUCUUAAACACUGAAGACUAUUGGCAAGAGACCUCAAGUUUUCUGUCAAAGGCAUCUCCAAUUAUACUCAACUGUGACAAUAGCUCAGAUGGGGAAAGCAAAGAGGAUUGGAUGGAGGAUGCUGGAGGGUGAGCCUGUGAGGGCAUCACCCCAGAGCUGCUUAAUGCCAUGCAUUCCGUAGGGCUUUGAAGUUCAGUAACCACCUGGGACCAGUAACCACCUGGGUCCUGGUUCUCUUAAGUCUGUGUUGUCUUUGGAGAAAGUUACUGGAUGACUCAAGAUGGAAGUAGAGCAAGGCAGCAAGCCUAUUACUGCCUUUUCUAAGGGUGUAUAUCAUUUCACAUGUAGGUAUAACUGAUCUAGAGUUCAUAUACGAUAGGUAUGGGAAAGGGGAGCCAAGUUACAGAGAAAAAGACCAGCAAAUCAUUGCCCCUGUGAGAAAUGUGUGAACUGACAUGGGGCCCUCCCUCUGUCUCUCUGGCCUCCGUUUUCAUUCAUAAAGUGAGAGUAGCAUAGUUCCAUUUUUAUAGGACUGUUAAUUAAAUGACAUAAUGUGCACAAAAUCCCUAAUGCAGUGCCUGCCACAUGGGAGGUUUUCAAAGUAAAUAAGUGAUUUUUUUACUGCUGGAGCUGUAAUGCGGGCAGCCCUUUGUGGAGAGCGCUGGGAUCCCGGGCAGGAAGAUUGACUUUUAGCUGUGUAUGACUGUAGUGCAGGGACUGCAGAUUCCUUAUUUUGUCCUCAUGUCUUGCUAAGUAUGCUGAAUGUUGACAAUGCACACAUGUAGUACUUUAUACUUUUCAAACUAUUUCAUGCUUUUGGUCUUCUUUAGACUGUUGGGGAACUUUGAAGAAGCAAAUGAGCCUGUAUGCGUUUGGAGAAUGGAGUUUGAGCCAUGUCUUGGAAGCUCUGCUGGGGCGUUGAGAUGGAAAUCAUGGAUUCAAGGGAGUCAGGACUCGGGCCUCCCCUCCUCUCCUGGCCCAGAUGAAGAGCAGUCCAAGAGGGUCUGCCCCUCGCUGCGGUGACAGGAGUGUGGGCUACAAGUUGGGAUCAAUUGUUACUGCUUCUGAGAUUGCUCCUGUCAGAAGAGACCAAGAGAAAACUUGUGCUGCCUGUAAUAAUCUUACCUGGCUUGUUGGCAUCUCAUGUUAGGUAAUAAGUAGAUUGACCUUGGGGUGCAUAUCUGUAAAGAAGAUCCAAAUGAGGAUACAGGUAUGAAGAUUUAGAGGCAACUUAAUAGAAUAAAUACCCUCAUCUAAUGUUAAAAUGAUGACA
RNAcentral lists this long non-coding RNA (1432 nucleotides) under Oryctolagus cuniculus (rabbit). Its description in RNAcentral is "lncRNA (ENSOCUG00000031443.1)". The record is from RNAcentral. Lineage: Eukaryota; Metazoa; Chordata; Mammalia; Lagomorpha; Leporidae.